Molecule: ribosomal RNA, 253 nt
Filed under: uncultured bacterium
Lineage: Bacteria
Description: partial 16S ribosomal RNA
Rfam family: Bacterial small subunit ribosomal RNA
Source: RNAcentral
GACGUAGGGCGCGAGCGUUGUCCGGAUUUAUUGGGCGUAAAGAGCUCGUAGGCGGCUUGUCGCGUCGACUGUGAAAUCCCGCGGCUCAACUGCGGGUCUGCAGUCGAUACGGGCAGGCUAGAGUUCGGUAGGGGAGACUGGAAUUCCUGGUGUAGCGGUGAAAUGCGCAGAUAUCAGGAGGAACACCGGUGGCGAAGGCGGAUCUCUGGGCCGAUACUGACGCUGAGGAGCGAAAGCGUGGGGAGCGAACAGG